RNAcentral lists this ribosomal RNA (434 nucleotides) under uncultured Lachnospiraceae bacterium. Its description in RNAcentral is "bacterial SSU rRNA". It matches the Rfam family "Bacterial small subunit ribosomal RNA", at positions 341 to 792 of the family's 1533-position model. The record is from RNAcentral. Lineage: Bacteria; Bacillati; Bacillota; Clostridia; Lachnospirales; Lachnospiraceae.
ACGGGAGGCAGCAGCGGGGAAUAUUGGACAAUGGGGGAAACCCUGAUCCAGCGACGCCGCGUGAGUGAAGAAGUAUUUCGGUAUGUAAAGCUCUAUCAGCAGGGAAGAUAAUGACGGUACCUGACUAAGAAGCCCCGGCUAACUACGUGCCAGCAGCCGCGGUAAUACGUAGGGGGCAAGCGUUAUCCGGAUUUACUGGGUGUAAAGGGAGCGUAGACGGAAGGCCAAGUCUGAUGUGAAAACCCAGGGCUCAACCCUGGGACUGCAUUGGAAACUGGUCAUCUAGAGUGCAGGAGGGGUAAGCGGAAUUCCUAGUGUAGCGGUGAAAUGCGUAGAUAUUAGGAGGAACACCAGUGGCGAAGGCGGCUUACUGGACUGUAACUGACGCUGAGGCGCGAAAGCGUGGGGAGCGAACAGGAUUAGAUACCCUGGUA